Molecule: ribosomal RNA, 206 nt
Filed under: uncultured bacterium
Lineage: Bacteria
Description: partial 16S ribosomal RNA
Rfam family: Bacterial small subunit ribosomal RNA
Source: RNAcentral
CACGCAGGCGGUCUGUCAAGUCGGAUGUGAAAUCCCCGGGCUCAACCUGGGAACUGCAUUCGAAACUGGCAGGCUAGAGUCUUGUAGAGGGGGUAGAAUUCCAGGUGUAGCGGUGAAAUGCGUAGAGAUCUGGAGGAAUACCGGUGGCGAAGGCGGCCCCCUGGACAAAGACUGACGCUCAGAUGCGAAAGCGUGGGGAGCAAACA